AGCUCCAUUAGCGUAUAUUAAAGUUGUUGCGGUUAAAAAGCUCGUAGUUGGAUCUGCGGUCGUGUGACGCUGGUCCCCCACUGGGUGUGCACUAGUCGUCGCGACCUAACUCGCUGGUUUUCUCCUGGUGCUCUUAACUGAGGGCCUGGAGUAGCUAGCACGUUUACUUUGAAAAAAUUAGAGUGCUCAAAGCAGGCGAACGCCUGAAUAGUGGUGCAUGGAAUAAUGGAAUAGGACCUCGGUUCUAUUUUGUUGGUUUUCGGAGCUCGAGGUAAUGAUUAAGAGGGACGGACGGGGGCAUUCGUAUUGUGGCGUUAGAGGUGAAAUUCUUGGAUCGCCGCAAGACGGACAACUGCGAAAGCAUUUGCCAAGAAUGUUUUCA
This 382-nucleotide ribosomal RNA is filed under the name uncultured eukaryote. RNAcentral describes it as "SSU rRNA". It matches the Rfam family "Eukaryotic small subunit ribosomal RNA", at positions 587 to 972 of the family's 1831-position model. The record is from RNAcentral.